GUCCUCGUGGCACAACAGGAUAGCGCGGCUCCCUCCUAAGGAGCAGGUUGGAGGUUCGAUUCCUCUCGGGGACACCA
Molecule: transfer RNA, 77 nt
Filed under: Patescibacteria group bacterium
Lineage: Bacteria
Description: tRNA-Arg
Rfam family: tRNA
About the family: Transfer RNA (tRNA) molecules are approximately 80 nucleotides in length. Their secondary structure includes four short double-helical elements and three loops (D, anti-codon, and T loops). Further hydrogen bonds mediate the characteristic L-shaped molecular structure. tRNAs have two regions of fundamental functional importance: the anti-codon, which is responsible for specific mRNA codon recognition, and the 3' end, to which the tRNAs corresponding amino acid is attached (by aminoacyl-tRNA synthetases). tRNAs cope with the degeneracy of the genetic code in two manners: having more than one tRNA (with a specific anti-codon) for a particular amino acid; and 'wobble' base-pairing, i.e. permitting non-standard base-pairing at the 3rd anti-codon position.
Source: RNAcentral